CCGGCGACCGGCGCACGGGUGAGUAACGCGUAUGCAACCUGCCCGUUUCAGCGGGAUAACCCGGAGAAAUCCGGCCUAAUACCGCAUGUGGCCGAGGGGAGGCAUCUUCUUUCGGCCAAAGGAAGCGAUUCCGGCGGGGGAUGGGCAUGCGGCGCAUUAGCUAGUCGGCGGGGUAACGGCCCACCGAGGCGACGAUGCGUAGGGGUUCUGAGAGGAAGGUCCCCCACACUGGUACUGAGACACGGACCAGACUCCUACGGAAGGCAGCAG
Molecule: ribosomal RNA, 270 nt
Filed under: uncultured bacterium
Lineage: Bacteria
Description: partial 16S ribosomal RNA
Rfam family: Bacterial small subunit ribosomal RNA
Source: RNAcentral